AGAAAAGCAUUAUUGGUAGUAGUGGAAAGAGCAACCUCUGACUGGAGGAUGCCAGCCUGCUGAGUGGUGACAUAGCCCUAAUGGAGUAAGUCCCUACCCUGUGUGAGGUACAGGUGGUACUCUGUCUUGGACUGUCCACCCUCAAUCAUAGGGCAGUGCUUUUCAUUGAGAAGCUGAUCCUUGGAAAGAUGGAGAGGUUUUCAAAAACUAUAGCCACAGAAUCAGAAUAUGGACCCCAAUCCACCCUCUGUGGACUUAGACCUUCUUCCCUCAUUGUCCAAGCCCCAAAUGACCCCUCUCCCCAUUUGGUACCCCUACACCCUAGGGGUAGGUUCCAAGAGUUCAGAGAUCCUAGUUCUGGCUAGAAAUCCAGAAACAUUGCCCCUCCAUCUGGUCGUUGUUAUAAAAACAAAUUCACUUGAAGGUUUGAAGCACCCCUGCCUUCAUGGAUGGACCUCUGUGGUGCCUUUGGUCCUGAGUCCCUAGAUGAUCUCUCAAGCCAUAUUUGAAGGGAGCAUU
RNAcentral lists this long non-coding RNA (519 nucleotides) under Bos taurus (domestic cattle). Its description in RNAcentral is "long non-coding RNA NONBTAT022816". Lineage: Eukaryota; Metazoa; Chordata; Mammalia; Artiodactyla; Bovidae. The record is from RNAcentral.